GCCUUUGUGGUGUGAAUGUAGCACAUUCGGCCCGUAUUCGAGAAGUCCAGGUUCGAGUCCUGGUAAGGGCA
This 71-nucleotide transfer RNA is filed under the name Stegodyphus mimosarum. It matches the Rfam family "tRNA". Rfam says of the family: Transfer RNA (tRNA) molecules are approximately 80 nucleotides in length. The record is from Rfam by way of RNAcentral. Lineage: Eukaryota; Metazoa; Arthropoda; Arachnida; Araneae; Eresidae.